GCCCGCCUAGCUCAAUCGGAUAGAGCGUCAGACUCUUACCUAGGCUGGUGUAAUCUGAAGGCUGCGAGUUCGACCCUCGCGGUGGGCU
RNAcentral lists this transfer RNA (88 nucleotides) under Sphagnurus paluster. RNAcentral's name for it is "Tephrocybe palustris tRNA". It matches the Rfam family "tRNA". From Rfam's summary of the family: Transfer RNA (tRNA) molecules are approximately 80 nucleotides in length. The record is from Rfam by way of RNAcentral. Lineage: Eukaryota; Fungi; Basidiomycota; Agaricomycetes; Agaricales; Lyophyllaceae.